GACGAACGCUGGCGGCGUGCUUAACACAUGCAAGUCGAGCGGUAAGGCCCUUUCGGGGGUACACGAGCGGCGAACGGGUGAGUAACACGUGGGUGACCUGCCCUCAGCUCUGGGAUAAGCCUGGGAAACCGGGUCUAAUACUGGAUAUGACUCCAUGACGCAUGUUGUGGGGUGGAAAGCCUUGUGCGGCUGAGGAUGGGCCCGCGGCCUAUCAGCUUGUUGGUGGGGUGANGGCCUACCAAGGCGACGACGGGUAGCCGGCCUGAGAGGGCGACCGGCCACACUGGGACUGAGACACGGGCCCAGACUCCUACGGGAGGCAGCAGGUGGGGAAUCUUGCGCAAUGGGCGAGAGCCUGACGCAGCGACGCCGCGUGAGGGAUGAC
Molecule: ribosomal RNA, 385 nt
Filed under: uncultured bacterium
Lineage: Bacteria
Description: bacterial SSU rRNA
Rfam family: Bacterial small subunit ribosomal RNA
Source: RNAcentral